Myiozetetes cayanensis is the source of this 218-nucleotide long non-coding RNA. RefSeq lists it as uncharacterized. Lineage: Eukaryota; Metazoa; Chordata; Aves; Passeriformes; Tyrannidae. The transcript is spliced from 3 exons. The record is from RefSeq and is a predicted model, not a curated record.
CCCACUGCGGGGACCCCCUGGGGGACGACGGGUUCGUGGAGCGGGGGGGGCUCCCGUUUUGCCGCCGGGAUUUCGGGGAGCUCUUCGGGGGUCGCUGCCGGGGCUGCCCCCGCCCCGUCCUGGGGGGCUUCGUCACCGCCCUGGGGGGGCUCUGGCACCCCGAGUGCUUCGUCUGCCAGGACUGCCUGGCCCCCUUCCCGGGGGCUCCUUCUUCGAGC